UACGGAGGAUGCAAGCGUUAUCCGGAUUUAUUGGGUUUAAUGGGUGCGUAGGCGGAUAUGUAAGUCAGCGGUGAAACUCACAGGCUCAACCUGUGCCGUGCCGUUGAAACUGUGUAUCUGGAAUGCGGAUGCUGUGGGAGGAAUGUGUAGUGUAGCGGUGAAAUGCAUAGAUAUUACACAGAACACCGAUUGCGAAGGCAUCUCACAAAGCCGUUAUUGACGCUGAGGCACGAAAGUGUGGGGA
Molecule: ribosomal RNA, 244 nt
Filed under: uncultured prokaryote
Description: partial 16S ribosomal RNA
Rfam family: Bacterial small subunit ribosomal RNA
Source: RNAcentral